AGGGCACCACCAGGAGUGGAGCCUGCGGCUUAAUUUGACUCAACACGGGGAAACUUACCCGGCCUGGACACUGGAAGGAUUGACAGAUUGAGGGCUCUUUCUUGAUUCAGUGGGUGGUGGUGCAUGGCCGUUCUUAGUUGGUGGAGCGAUUUGUCUGGUUAAUUCCGAUAACGAACGAGACUCUAGCCUAUUAAAUAGGCUCUCGGCUUUUAAACGCCGGGAGGACUUCUUAGAGGGACAGGUGGCGGUUCAGCCGCACGAAAGAGAGCAAUAACAGGUCUGUGAUGCCCUUUGUUGUCCGGGGCCGCACGCGCGCUACACUGAAGAGAUCAGCGUGCUUUACGUUCCUGCUCCGACCGGAGUGGGGAACCCAGUGAACCUUCUUCGUGAUUGGGAUAGAAGAUUGUAAUUAUUCUUCUUGAACGAGGAAUUCCCAGUAAAUGCGAGUCAUAAGCCCGCGUUGAUUACGUCCCUGCCCUUUGUACACACCGCCCGUCGCUACUACCGAUUGAACGAUUU
Molecule: ribosomal RNA, 519 nt
Filed under: uncultured eukaryote
Lineage: Eukaryota
Description: SSU rRNA
Rfam family: Eukaryotic small subunit ribosomal RNA
Source: RNAcentral